Molecule: ribosomal RNA, 387 nt
Filed under: uncultured bacterium
Lineage: Bacteria
Description: bacterial SSU rRNA
Rfam family: Bacterial small subunit ribosomal RNA
Source: RNAcentral
GACGAACGCUGGCGGCGUGCUUAACACAUGCAAGUCGAGCGGUAAGGCCCUUUCGGGGGUACACGAGCGGCGAACGGGUGAGUAACACGUGGGUGACCUGCCCUUAGCUCUGGGAUAAGCCUGGGAAACUGGGUCUAAUACCGGAUAUGACUCCAUGACGCAUGUUGUGAGGUGGAAAGCCUUGUGCGGCUAGGGAUGGGCCCGCGGCCUAUCAGCUUGUUGGUGGGGUGAUGGCCACCAAGGCGACGACGGGUAGCCGGCCUGAGAGGGCGACCGGCCACACUGGGACUGAGACACGGCCCAGACUCCUACGGGAGGCAGCAGUGGGGAAUCUUGCGCAAUGGGCGAAAGCCUGACGCAGCGACGCCGCGUGAGGGAUGACGGCCU